Paramisgurnus dabryanus is the source of this 387-nucleotide non-coding RNA. Lineage: Eukaryota; Metazoa; Chordata; Actinopteri; Cypriniformes; Cobitidae. The record is from the annotation of a RefSeq genome assembly.
AUGCACCAACAAUCGUAUAUAAACACACCUCGUUCUCAGACCAGCACACCCAUAGGCAAACUGAUGGGUGCAAAGAUUGAUUGUCAAACCUUCACUCAGUCUCAAGCUGUGGUUAAAAAACCUGAUGAAUCUUUUAAACUGAUCUGCACCGCCUCUGGAUUUACAUUCAGCAGCUACUAUGCAGCUGUGGUUAGACAGGCUCCUGGUAAAGGACUGGAGUGGAUUGCAUUCAUCCAUACAGGCAGUUCUCAUAUCUACUAUUCCCAGUCAGUUCAGGGAAGAUUCACAGUGACCAGAGACGACUCCAGCAGUCAACUGUAUCUACAGAUGAACAGUCUAAAGACUGAAGACACAGCUGUGUAUUACUGUACCAGAGAGUCACUGUGA